RNAcentral lists this transfer RNA (74 nucleotides) under Watanabea sichuanensis. Its description in RNAcentral is "tRNA-Ala". It matches the Rfam family "tRNA". From Rfam's summary of the family: Transfer RNA (tRNA) molecules are approximately 80 nucleotides in length. The record is from RNAcentral. Lineage: Eukaryota; Viridiplantae; Chlorophyta; Trebouxiophyceae; Watanabeales; Watanabeaceae.
GGGAUUGUACCUUAAUGGUGAGAGGUCUGUCCCUGCACUGGCAGAAGUUGCGGGUUCGAGUCCCGUCAAUCUCG